RNAcentral lists this long non-coding RNA (8788 nucleotides) under Homo sapiens (human). Its description in RNAcentral is "HSALNT0401427". Lineage: Eukaryota; Metazoa; Chordata; Mammalia; Primates; Hominidae. The record is from RNAcentral.
AAAUGAUGGAUUUCCAUCUUACAAUUGAAUGCAAGUAGGUUGCAAGGUUGAUGGAAAGUAGAAAAGUUUCCUGACUUGCGUGAACAGAAAAGAAACAUCAAUUUGAAAGGAAACCAUUUAUUUAUUUACUUCCUCUACAGUUUUCCUGACUGCUACAUUUCAUAAGAAGGGAUUGUUUAUGAGGGUCAAGGAGCUGGAGGCCUGGGGAGGAGCUGGUGUUUCUGUUCAAGUUUGAGGGUCCUGGAGCUGGAGCCCAGGGGAGGAGCCAGUGCUGCCACUGAUGUCUUAGGGUCGUGGAGCUGAAGAUCCCAGAGGAGCCGGUGCUGCUAUUCUAGCUUGAGUUUCGUGGAGCUGGAGACCCAGGGAGAAGAUGGUGCUGCUGUUCUAAUUUAAGGAUCGUGAAACAGAAGACCCAGAAAGGAGCUGGUGCUGCCGCUGCUCAGAUCUGAGGGUGUUGGAGCUGGAGCCUGGGGGUGGAGCCAUUGCUGCCAUUGAAGUGUGAGAGUCAUUGAGCUGGAAGUCCAGGAAGCAGCUGGUGCUGCUGUUCUAGUUUGAGGGUUGUGGAGUGCAGACCCAGGCAGGAGCAACAUUGCUGUAGUUCGAGGGUCAGAAAGCUGGCGACCCAGGGAGGAGAGGUCUUGUUCUAGUUUGAUUUUCGUGGAGCUGCAGACCCAGGCAGGAGCAAUGUUGCUGUAGUUCGAGGGUCCGGUAGCUGGCAACCCGGGGAGGAGAAGUCUUGUUCGAGUUUGAGGGUCGUGGAGCUGCCGACCCAGGGAGGAGCAAUUUGGUUGUAAUUUGAGGGUCCAGAAGCUGGAGACCCAGGGAGGAGAGAGAUCUUGUUCUGGUCUGAGGGUUGUGGAGCCACAGACCCAGGGAGGAGCAAUUUUGUUGUAAUUUGAGGGUCAGGAAGCUGGCGACCCAGGGAGGAGAGGUCUUGUUCUAGUUUGAGGGUCGUGGAGCUGCCGACCCAGGGAGGAGCAAUUUUGUUGUAAUUCGAGGAUCAGGAAGCUGGCGACCCAGUGGAGGAGAGGUCUUGUUCUGGUCUGAGGGUCAUGGAGCUGCAGACCCAGGGAGGAGCAAUGUUGUUGUAAUUCGAGGGUGUGGUAGCUGGCAACCUGGGGAGGAGAAGUCUUGUUCGAGUUUGAGGCUCGUGGAGCUGCCGACCAGGGAGGAGCAAUUUUGUUGCAGUUCGAGGGUCAGGAAGCUGGCGACCCAGGGAGGAGAGGUCUUCUUCUGGUCUGAGGGUCGUGGAGCUGCAGACCCAGGGAGGAGCAAUGUUGUUGUAAUUCGAGGGUCUGGUAGCUGGCAACCUGGGGAGGAGAAGUCUUGUUCGAGUUUGAGGCUGGUGGAGCUGCUGAUCAGGGAGGAGCAAUUUUGUUGUAGUUCGAGGGUCAGGAAGCUGGUGACCCAGGGAGGAGAGGUCUUGUUUUAGUUUGAGGGUGGUGGAGCUGCAGACCCAGGGAGGAGCAAUUUGGUUGUAAUUCGAGGGUCUGGAAGCUGGAGACCCAGGGAGGAGAGGUCUUGUUCUAGUUUGAGGGUCGUGGAGCUGCCGAACCAGGGAGGAGAAGUCUUGUUUUAGUUUGAGGGUCGUGGAGCUGCCGAACCAGGGAGGCGCAAUUUGGUUGUAAUUGGAGGGUCCGGAAGCUGGUGACCCACGGAGGAGAUGUCUUGUUCUGGUCUGAGGGUCGUGGAGCUACAUACCCAGGGAGGAGCAAUGUUGUUGUAAUUCGAGGGUGUGGUAGCUGGCAACCUGGGGAGGAGAAGUCUUGUUCGAGUUUGAGGCUCGUGGAGCUGCCGACCAGGGAGGAGCAAUUUUGUUGUAGUUCGUGGGUCAGGAAUCUGGCGACCCAGGGAGGAGAGGUCUUUAGUUUGAGGGUUGUGGAACUGCAGACCCAGGCAGGAGCAAUGUUGUUGUAAUUCAAGGGUCCGGAAGCUGGUGACCCAGGGAGGAGAGGUCUUGUUCUAGUUUGAGGGUCGUGGAGCUGCCGACCCAGGGAGGAGCAAUUUGGUUGUAAUUGGAGAGUCCGGAAGCUGGAGACCCAGGGAGGAGAGGUCUUGUUCUAGUUUGAGGGUCGUAGAGCUGCAGACCCAGGGAGGAGCAAUUCUGUUGUAAUUCGAGGGUCUGGAAGCUGGAGACCGAGGGAGGAGAGGUCUUGUUGUAGUUUGAGGGUCGUGGAGCUGCCGAACCAGGGAGGAGCAAUGUUGUUUUAAUUGGAGGGUCCGAAAGCUGGCGACCCAGGGAGGAGAGGCCUUGUUCUGGUGUGAGGGUCGUGGAGCUGCAGACCCAGGGAGGAGCAAUUUUGUUGUAAUUCAAGGGUCCGGUAGCUGGCAACCCAGGGAAGAGAAGUGUUGUUGGAGUUUGAGGGUCGUGGAGCUGCCGACCCAGGGAGGAGCAAUUUGGUUGUAAUUCGAGGGUCAGGAAGCUGGCGACCCAGGUGAGGAGAGGUCUUCUUCUGGUCUGAGGGUCGUGGAGCUGCAGACCCAGGGAGGAGCAAUGUUGUUGUAAUUCGAGGGUCUGGUAGCUGGCAACCUGGGAAGGAGAAGUCUUGUUCGAGUUUGAGGCUGCUGGAGCUGCUGAUCAGGGAGGAGCAAUUUUGUUGUAGUUCGAGGGUCAGGAAGCUGGUGACCCAGGGAGGAGAGGUCUUGUUUUAGUUUGAGGGUGGUGGAGCUGCAGACCCAGGGAGGAGCAAUUUGGUUGUAAUUCGAGGGUCUGGAAGCUGGAGACCCAGGGAGGAGAGGUCUUGUUCUGGUUUGAGGGUCAUGGAGCUGCCGAACCAGGGAGGAGCAAUUUGGUUGUAAUUGGAGGGUCCGGAAGCUGGUGACCCAGGGAGGAGAGGUCUUGUUUUAGUUUGAGGGUUGCGGAACUGCAGACCCAGGCAGGAGCUAUGUUGUUGUAAUUCAAGGGUCUGGAAGCUGGCGACCCAGGGAGGAGAGGUCUUGUUCUAGUUUGAGGGUCGUGGAGCUGCCGACCCAGGGAGGAGCAAUUUGGUUGUAAUUCGAGGGUCAGGAAGCUGGCGACCCAGGGAGGAGAGGUCUUCUUCUGGUCUGAGGGUCAUGGAGCUGCAGACCCAGGGAGGAGCAAUAUUGUUGUAAUUCGAGGGUCUGGAAGCUGGAGACCGAGGGAGGAGAGGUCUUGUUCUAGUUUGAGGGUCGUGGAGCUGCCGAACCAGGGAGGAGCAAUGUUGUUGUAAUUGGAGGGUCGGAAAGCUGGCGACCCAGGGAGGAGAGGUCUUGUUCUGGUGUGAGGGUCGUGGAGCUGCAGACCCAGGGAGGAGCAAUUUUGUUGUAAUUCAAGGGUCCGGUAGCUGGCAAACCAGGGAAGAGAAGUGUUGUUGGAGUUUGAGGGUCAUGGAGCUGCCGACCCAGGGAGGAGCAAUUUGGUUGUAAUUCGAGGGUCAGGAAGCUGGCGACCCAGGGGAGGAGAGGUCUUCUUCUGGUCUGAGGGUCGUGGAGCUGCAGACCCAGGGAGGAGCAAUGUUGUUGUAAUUCGAGGGUCUGGUAGCUGGCAACCUGGGAAGUAGAAGUCUUGUUCGAGUUUGAGGCUGGUGGAGCUGCUGAUCAGGGAGGAGCAAUUUUGUUGUAGUUCGAGGGUCAGGAAGCUGGUGACCCAGGAAGGAGAGGUCUUGUCUUAGUUUGAGGGUGGUGGAGCUGCAGACCCAGGGAGGAGCAAUUUGGUUGUAAUUCGAGGGUCUGGAAGCUGGAGACCCAGGGAGGAGAGGUCUUGUUCUAGUUUGAGGGUCGUGGAGCUGCCGAACCAGGGAGGAGCAAUGCUGUUGUAAUUCGAGGGUCCGGAAGCUGGCGACCGAGGGAGGAGAGGUCUUGUUCUAGUUUGAGGGUCGUGGAGCUGCCGAACCAGGGAGGCGCAAUUUGGUUGUAAUUGGAGGGUCCGGAAGCUGGUGACCCAGGGAGGAGAUGUCUUGUUCUGGUCUGAGUGUCGUGGAGCUACAUACCCAGGGAGGAGCAAUGUUGUUGUAAUUCGAGGGUGUGGUAGCUGGCAACCUGGGGAGGAGAAGUCUUGUUCGAGUUUGAGGCUCGUGGAGCUGCCGACCAGGGAGGAGCAAUUUUGUUGUAGUUUGUGGGUCAGGAAUCUGGCGACCCAGGGAGGAGAGGUCUUGCUUUAGUUUGAGGGUUGUGGAACUGCAGACCCAGGCAGGAGCAAUGUUGUUGUAAUUCAAGGGUCCGGAAGCUGGUGACCCAGGGAGGAGAGGUCUUGUUCUAGUUUGAGGGUCGUGGAGCUGCCGACCCAGGGAGGAGCAAUUUGGUUGUAAUUGGAGGGUCCGGAAGCUGGAGACCCAGGGAGGAGAGGUCUUGUUCUAGUUUUAGGGUCGUAGAGCUGAAGACCCAGGGAGGAGCAAUUCUGUUGUAAUUCGAGGGUCUGGAAGCUGGAGACCCAGGGAGGAGAGGUCUUGUUGUAGUUUGAGGGUCGUGGAGCUGCCGAACCAGGGAGGAGCAAUGUUGUUGUAAUUGGAGGGUCCGAAAGCUGGCGACCCAGGGAGGAGAGGUCUUGUUCUGGUGUGAGGGUCGUGGAGCUGCAGACCCAGGGAGGAGCAAUUUUGUUGUAAUUCAAGGGUCCGGUAGCUGGCAACCCAGGGAAGAGAAGUGUUCUUGGAGUUUGAGGGUCGUGGAGCUGCCGACCCAGGGAGGAGCAAUUUGGUUCUAAUUCGAGGGUCAGGAAGCUGGCGACCCAGGUGAGGAGAGGUCUUCUUCUGGUAUGAGGGUCGUGGAGCUGCAGACCCAGGGAGGAGCAAUUUUGUUGUAAUUCAAGGGUCCGGUAGCUGGCAACCCGGGUAGGAGAAGUCUUGUUCGAGUUUGAGGGUCGUGGAUCUGCCGACCCAGGGAGGAGCAGUUUGGUUGUAAUUUGAGGGUCCGGAAGCUGGAGACCCAGGGAGGAGAGAGGUCUUGUUCUCGUCUGAGGGUCGUGGAGCUGCAGACCCAGGGAGGAGCAAUUUGGUUGUAAUUCGAGGGUCAGGAAGCUGGCGACCCAGGGAGGAGAGGUCUUGUUCUGGUCUGAGGGUCAUGGAGCUACAUACCCAGGGAGGAGCAAUGUUGUUGUAAUUCGAGGGUGUGGUAGCUGGCAACCUGGGGAGGAGAAGUCUUCUUCGAGUUUGAGGCUCGUGGAGUUGCCGACCAGGGACGAGCAAUUUUGUUGUAGUUCGUGGGUCAGGAAUCUGGCGACCCAGGGAGGAGAGGUCUUGUUUUAGUUUGAGGGUUGUGGAACUGCAGACCCAGGCAGGAGCAAUGUUGUUGUAAUUCAAGGGUCCGGAAGCUGGAGACCCCGGGAGGAGAGGUCUUGUUCUAAUUUGAGGGUCGUAGAGCUGCGGAACCAGGGAGGAGCAAUGUUGUUGUAAUUGGAGGGUCCGAAAGCUGGCGACCCAGGGAGGAGAGGUCUUGUUCUGGUGUGAGGGUCGUGGAGCUGCAGACCCAGGGAGGAGCAAUUUUGUUGUAAUUCAAGGGUCCAGUAGCUGGCAACCCAGGGAAGAGAAGUGUUGUUGGAGUUUGAGGGUCGUGGAGCUGCCGACCCAGGGAGGAGCAAUUUGGUUGUAAUUCGAGGGUCAGGAAGCUGGCGACCCAGGGGAGGAGAGGUCUUCUUCUGGUCUGAGGGUCGUGGAGCUGCAGACCCAGGGAGGAGCAAUGUUGUUGUAAUUCGAGGGUCUGGUAGCUGGCAACCUGGGGAGGAGAAGUCUUGUUCGAGUUUUAGGCUGGUGGAGCUGCUGAUCAGGGAGGAGCAAUUUUGUUGUAGUUCGAGGGUCAGGAAGCUGGUGACCCAGGGAGGAGAGGUCUUGUUUUAGUUUGAGGUUGUUGGAGGUGCAGACCCAGGGAGGAGCAAUAUUGUUGUAAUUCGAGGGUCUGGAAGCUGGAGACCCAGGGAGGAGAGGUCUUGUUCUAGUUUGAGGGUCGUGGAGCUGCCGAACCAGGGAGGAGCAAUGCUGUUGUAAUUGGAGGGUCCGGAAGCUGGCGACCCAGGGAGGAGAGGUCUUGUUCUAGUUUGAGGGUCGUGGAGCUGCCGAACCAGAGAGGCGCAAUUUGGUUGUAAUUGGAGGGUCCGGAAGCUGGUGACCCAGGGAGGAGAUGUCUUGUUCUGGUCUGAGGGUCGUGGAGCUACAUAUCCAGGGAGGAGCAAUGUUGUUGUAAUUCGAGGGUGUGGUAGCUGGCAACCUGGGGAGGAGAAGUCUUGUUCGAGUUUGUGGCUCGUGGAGCUGCCGACCAGGGAGGAGCAAUUUUGUUGUAGUUCGUGGGUCAGGAAUCUGGCGACCCAGGGAGGAGAGGUCUUGUUUUAGUUUGAGGGUUGUGGAACUGCAGACCCAGGCAGGAGCAAUGUUGUUGUAAUUCAAGGGUCCGGAAGCUGGUGACCCAGGGAGGAGAGGUCUUGUUCUAGUUUGAGGGUCGUGGAGCUGCCGACCCAGGGAGGAGCAAUUUGGUUGUAAUUGGAGAGUCCGGAAGCUGGAGACCCAGGGAGGAGAGGUCUUGUUCUAGUUUGAGGGUCGUAGAGCUGCAGACCCAGGGAGGAGCAAUUCUGUUGUAAUUCGAGGGUCUGGAAGCUGGAGACCGAGGGAGGAGAGGUCUUGUUGUAGUUUGAGGGUCGUGGAGCUGCCGAACCAGGGAGGAGCAAUGUUGUUGUAAUUGGAGGGUCCGAAAGCUGGCGACCCAGGGAGGAGAGGUCUUGUUCUGGUGUGAGGGUCGUGGAGCUGCAGACCCAGGGAGGAGCAAUUUUGUUGUAAUUCAAGGGUCCGGUAGCUGGCAACCCAGGGAAGAGAAGUGUUGUUGGAGUUUGAGGGUCGUGGAGCUGCCGACCCAGGGAGGAGCAAUUUGGUUGUAAUUCGAGGGUCAGGAAGCUGGCGACCCAGGUGAGGAGAGGUCUUCUUCUGGUCUGAGGGUCGUGGAGCUGCAGACCCAGGGAGGAGCAAUGUUGUUGUAAUUCGAGGGUCUGGUAGCUGGCAACCUGGGGAGGAGAAGUCUUGUUCGAGUUUGAGGCUGGUGGAGCUGCUGAUCAGGGAGGAGCAAUUUUUUUGUAGUUCGAGGGUCAGGAAGCUGGUGACCCAGGGAGGAGAGGUCUUGUUUUAGUUUGAGGGUGGUGGAGCUGCAGACCCAGGGAGGAGCAAUUUGGUUGUAAUUCGAGGGUCUGGAAGCUGGAGACCCAGGGAGGAGAGGUCUUGUUCUGGUUUGAGGGUCAUGGAGCUGCCGAACCAGGGAGGAGCAAUUUGGUUGUAAUUGGAGGGUCCGGAAGCUGGUGACCCAGGGAGGAGAGGUCUUGUUUUAGUUUGAGGGUUGCGGAACUGCAGACCCAGGCAGGAGCUAUGUUGUUGUAAUUCAAGGGUCCGGAAGCUGGCGACCCAGGGAGGAGAGGUCUUGUUCUAGUUUGAGGGUCGUAGAGCUGCCGACCCAUGGAGGAGCAAUUUGGUUGUAAUUCGAGGGUCAGGAAGCUGGCGACGCAGGGAGGAGAGGUCUUGUUCUGGUAUGAGGGUCGUGGAGCUGCAGACCCAGGGAGGAGCAAUUUUGUUGUAAUUCAAGGGUCCGGUAGCUGGCAACCCGGGUAGGAGAAGUCUUGUUCGAGUUUGAGGGUCGUGGAGCUGCCGAACCAGGGAGGCGCAAUUUGGUUGUAAUUGGAGGGUCCGGAAGCUGGUGACCCAGGGAGGAGAUGUCUUCUUCUGGUCUGAUGGUCGUGGAGCUACAUACCCAGGGAGGAGCAAUGUUGUUGUAAUUCGAGGGUGUGGUAGCUGGCAACCUGGGGAGGAGAAGUCUUGUUGGAGUCUGAGGCUCGUGGAGCUGCCGACCAGGGAGGAGCAAUUUUGUUGUAGUUCGUGGGUCAGGAAUCUGGCGACCCAGGGAGGAGAGGUCUUGUUUUAGUUUGAGGGUUGUGGAACUGCAGACCCAGGCAGGAGCAAUGUUGUUGUAAUUCAAAGGUCCGGAAGCUGGAGACACAGGGAGGAGAGGUCUUGUUCUAGUUUGAGGGUCGUAGAGCUGCAGACCCAGGGAGGAGCAAUUCUGUUGUAAUCCGAGGGUCUGGAAGCUGGAGACCCAGGGAGGAGAGGUCUUGUUGUAGUUUGAGGGUCGUGGAGCUGCCGAACCAGGGAGGAGCAAUGUUGUUGUAAUUGGAGGGUCCGAAAUCUGGCGACCCAGGGAGGAGAGGUCUUGUUCUGGUGUGAGGGUCAUGGAGCUGCAGACCCAGGGAGGAGCAAUUUUGUUGUAAUUCAAGGGUCCGGUAGCUGGCAACCCAGGGAAGAGAAGUGUUGUUGGAGUUUGAGGGUCGUGGAGCUGCCGACCCAGAGAGGAGCAAUUUGGUUGUAAUUCGAGGGUCAGGAAGCUGGCGACCAAGGGGAGGAGAGGUCUUCUUCUGGUCUGAGGGUCGUGGAGCUGCAGACCCAGGGAGGAGCAAUGUUGUUGUAAUUCGAGGGUCUGGUAGCUGGCAACCUGGGGAGGAGAAGUCUUGUUCGAGUUUGAGGCUGGUGGAGCUGCUGAUCAGGGAGGAGCAAUUUUGUUGUAGUUCGAGGGUCAGGAAGCUGGUGACCCAGGAAGGAGAGGUCUUGUUUUAGUUUGAGGGUGGUGGAGCUGCAGACCCAGGGAGGAGCAAUUUGGUUGUAAUUCGAGGGUCUGGAAGCUGGAGACCCAGGGAGGAGAGGUCUUGUUCUAGUUUGAGGGUCGUGGAGCUGCCGAACCAGGGAGGAGCAAUGCUGUUGUAAUUCGAGGGUCCGGAAGCUGGCGACCCAGGGAGGAGAGGUCUUGUUCUAGUUUGAGGGUCCAGAAGCUGGCGACGCAGGGAGGAGAGGUCUCAUUCUAGUUUGAGGAUCAU